UGGGGAAUAUUGGGCAAUGGGCGCAAGCCUGACCCAGCAACGCCGCGUGAAGGAAGAAGGCCCUCGGGUUGUAAACUUCUUUUAUCAGGGACGAAGAAAAUGACGGUACCUGAUGAAUAAGCCACGGCUAACUACGUGCCAGCAGCCGCGGUAAUACGUAGGUGGCAAGCGUUAUCCGGAUUUACUGGGUGUAAAGGGCGUGUAGGCGGGAUCGCAAGUCAGAUGUGAAAUUCCAGGGCUCAACCCUGGACCUGCAUUUGAAACUGUGAUUCUUGAGUGUUGGAGAGGCAGGCGGAAUUCCGUGUGUAGCGGUGAAAUGCGUAGAUAUACGGAGGAACACCAGUGGCGAAGGCGGCCUGCUGGACAAUAACUGACGCUGAGGCGCGAAAGCGUGGGGAGCAAACAGG
This 407-nucleotide ribosomal RNA is filed under the name uncultured bacterium. RNAcentral's name for it is "bacterial SSU rRNA". It matches the Rfam family "Bacterial small subunit ribosomal RNA", at positions 355 to 776 of the family's 1533-position model. The record is from RNAcentral.